UUUAACCCAAUAAUUAUUUAAUGAAAAUAAUAGAAUUACGGAUUUAAACCCAUAAAAUUCAAAUUCUAGACCCGCCUUCGCUAACGGACCAAAAGAGCAAGCAAUAGCAGUACAUACCUUCCAUCUCCUUCCAAUAAGAAUUAGCAACUUGUUUUUAUCUUUCCAACCCGGCAAAGUUAUGACUUUUGGUUAAACUUUGACGUACCCAUAUUAAUGGCCUUCAUUUUGGCCAUAUUAAUCACAAUAUGUAUCCACGGUCAGCAAAGUUAAGGUUCAACACAGUAAAGGGAAACCCAGGCCAAAUCCUAGUGCGUCCACUAAAUUCCUUCCACAUAAUUUCUUUUUGUUUGUAUUAAAAGAUAGGCCGAUUUUUCACUUUCAAGGAUCCAUAGAGCUUUUAUAAAAUCAACAAUCCUUUCUUGAUUUCAUGGAUCCAAACAAUCAGACCACCGAGAUGGCUGAAACUGACUUUUAUAGAUAUGGGCAUCAAUUAAAAAAUGGAGUUCGCUCUGUUGAUGUUAAAUAAAAAGGCCUGAAAGGGCAUAAUUAAUU
Molecule: long non-coding RNA, 552 nt
Organism: Lycium ferocissimum
Lineage: Eukaryota; Viridiplantae; Streptophyta; Magnoliopsida; Solanales; Solanaceae
Exons: 2
Source: RefSeq, a predicted model, not a curated record